GCGCAGGUAUGCAAACGGUGAAGCAAGCGGUCUGUAAAACCGUGACCCAUGUGGUAAACACUGUAGGUUCGAAUCCUACCCGGCGCA
RNAcentral lists this transfer RNA (87 nucleotides) under Clostridium porci. RNAcentral's name for it is "Clostridium sp. WCA-389-WT-23D1 tRNA-Tyr". It matches the Rfam family "tRNA". From Rfam's summary of the family: Transfer RNA (tRNA) molecules are approximately 80 nucleotides in length. Their secondary structure includes four short double-helical elements and three loops (D, anti-codon, and T loops). Further hydrogen bonds mediate the characteristic L-shaped molecular structure. tRNAs have two regions of fundamental functional importance: the anti-codon, which is responsible for specific mRNA codon recognition, and the 3' end, to which the tRNAs corresponding amino acid is attached (by aminoacyl-tRNA synthetases). tRNAs cope with the degeneracy of the genetic code in two manners: having more than one tRNA (with a specific anti-codon) for a particular amino acid; and 'wobble' base-pairing, i.e. permitting non-standard base-pairing at the 3rd anti-codon position. The record is from RNAcentral. Lineage: Bacteria; Bacillati; Bacillota; Clostridia; Eubacteriales; Clostridiaceae.